This 279-nucleotide ribosomal RNA is filed under the name uncultured bacterium. Its description in RNAcentral is "partial 16S ribosomal RNA". It matches the Rfam family "Bacterial small subunit ribosomal RNA", at positions 506 to 784 of the family's 1533-position model. The record is from RNAcentral.
UGCCAGCAGCCGCGGUAAUACGGAGGGUGCAAACGUUGCUCGGAAUCAUUGGGCGUAAAGCGCACGUAGGCGGCUAGGUAUGUCGGAUGUGAAAGCCCGGGGCUCAACCCCGGAAGUGCAUUGGAAACUGGCGAACUUGAGUACGGGAGAGGAAAGUGGAAUUCCGAGUGUAGGGGUGAAAUCCGUAGAUAUUCGGAGGAACACCAGUGGCGAAGGCGGCUUUCUGGACCGAUACUGACGCUGAGGUGCGAAAGCGUGGGGAUCAAACAGGAUUAGAUA